This is a non-coding RNA of Vicugna pacos (alpaca), 1818 nucleotides long. NCBI's taxonomy places the organism in Eukaryota, Metazoa, Chordata, Mammalia, Artiodactyla, Camelidae. The record is from RefSeq and is a predicted model, not a curated record.
GCCUCUGCAGAAAAGUGAGCCAGGCUGACACUUUGAAUAAGGUGGGCGGCGUGCGUGCAGGGGCGGUGGUGCUGGGAAGUAGGUUUGCUCUCGGUAGUGUAUGAAGCCCCACGCUGGGGAGGGGGCUCCUGGGAGGAGGGCUUGGGCAAGCUGCUCUUUCAUCUGGAGCCCCGCAAGACAGCUGCCCAAAUGCACGACGUGCCCCUCACUCUCAUGGAAGGAGCGCUGGCUGUGUUAACUGAGCAGGUUGUUGGCUACUGUUUGGAAGGCGGCUUUGUAAGCGAGAGAUGUCACGCGGUGAAGCAAAAUGACUUCCCAACCAAGUUAGGGGGAAGCUAGGGGCUUCGGAUGCCAGGGAGGAUGCAGUGGAAACCGUCAGAGGGGUCCUCAAUCCCCCAAAAAAGGUGCUUCCCAAGGAGUCAGAAGUGGCCUUGAAAAGCUAUAAUUUCGCAUGCAGCACCCAAAACCUGCUUUCACUGGAAAGUGGCUUUAUGACCAAUGCGAAGCCCGGGAAGGAUGUGCAUGCGGAGGGACAGACAUGGGAUCUCUCUGUACUUUCUACUCAGUUUUGCUGGGAGCAGAAAACUGCUCCUAAAAAGUAAUCAAUGGGGGAAAAAAAGAAGGGGAGCACAUGUAGUCCUAUGCCCUGUACUCAACUGAAUUGUUUCCUCUCUGCUUGAGGGUCCACACGGCAGGUCUUGGAACUGUGGUCCCAGGGUGUCCUGUGGGGCAGGCUUGCUUCCAAGGCAGCCUCACGUGGCUGUUACUCUGCGCAUCUGGACCGGGUCUGCCGGCCUCACUGGAGGUCGGAGCAUGAGUGUCUCACAUGAUACAUGAGCUUCGUGGCAUGUGCACACCCUGAAAACCCAGGGGAAAGGACUCCAGCACUGCCAUGGUGUAGCUUUUAGGGAAAUGGAGGCAAAGGCACCCUCCCUCAAAACUGUCCUCCCUCUGCCCCAUCCGUCUCCCAGAACCACGACGUCAGGACGGCUUCAGCAAACUCCAUCACUUCUUUGAGGCUGAAGGACUUUAGUCCACUUCGUAUGUUUCAUCCUGGGGAGGGAAGAGCUGUCUGUUUCACCGAGGAAAUGUAAAAGUAGCAGUCUGCUGGGUCAGCCCAACCUUUAAAGCCCUGCAUCCACCCAACCUCUACACACAAAAACACUCCAGCUUUCCACCUAGAUAAUUAUUAAAUUGUAAUAUAAAGCCUAACUUCUGCUUAAGUAUGCGUGAUUAUUAGACUACAAGUCAAUUGCGGAUAACACGCAGAUAUAAAUGCAGCUAAUAAGUCUUGCUGUAAUGAUUAAUCAAUUUAUGAAUACAUUAUUUAAACUAAUAGCUCAGGUAGGGUAUCUUAAACAAGUUACAGAGUACAUUGACCAAUUCAAAUACCAGCUGCCGGAUCAAUAGGAAACUGUAAGUAAACUCUGGGGAAUAGGUAUACUUGCAAAAAGAAAGAAAGAAAGAAAUCUGCGAACAAAAGGGUCUUGGAUGAAGGAAAUCUACUACAAUUUCAAUUAAGACAAAUGUAGAGCACUGUAAUAUAUACCAAAGCUUAAAGUGAAAGUUAAAAAAAGAAAAAGUGCAUUACUGCAAAUGGUGCUCUUUCCCCAGCCUGUGUGGUAAUGAUAAUUAAGGGCAGGUCAUACAUACAUACAUUUGCCCAAAAUUUUGCAUACUUUCACAAAUAAGCUGUAUUAAAGUUAACUUUGAUUGCUUAAAAAAUGAUGCAUGGGGUUCACUUCAUCACAAGGUACCAUAUUUACCUAUGUAUAUAUAAACGUCCCUUUAACAGAAAUGAAAAAAAAAAGAAAAAAG